Long non-coding RNA from Eucalyptus grandis, 864 nucleotides. RefSeq lists it as uncharacterized. Lineage: Eukaryota; Viridiplantae; Streptophyta; Magnoliopsida; Myrtales; Myrtaceae. The transcript has 2 exons. The record is from RefSeq and is a predicted model, not a curated record.
AAACAAGCCAACAAACACAAACUUGUUUCGUGUUCAGGUGUUUUGGAAAACCCCUCCCCUUCGGCUUCUUCUCCAACGACUGCGCCUUCUCGUGGAUUCCGCUGCCGCCCUACGUUCGACGCGCCUCGCCGUCGCCGUCGCCGUCGCCGUCGCCACCCCUCGUCUCAACGUCGGAACCCUAGCCGUCGCCGAAUCAGUCGAUCGUCGCCGUCCAGGUCUCCAUCUCUCGUCUCAACGCCGGAACCCUAGCCGCCGCCGAUUCCUAUUGUUUUAGUGGGAAAACGCUGGAGCUGUGGCUUUCGGUUUUUCCUCGGAGUCGGGAGAAAUUCUGCCGCGACUUCUCGCGCGCGCGUUUACAUGACGGCUUGACGAUCCAGGGUCUUUAAAUUCGUCGGCAGGCGUCGGUCAAAUCGGGAAGCUCGCGACAAAGACGGGUGGAGUUUAGACGCCCAGGAAAAAGAAGCAAGAAAGGAAAGCUCUGUUCACGAACCCGGAAGAAACAGAGGGUCGGACUUGGAGCUCUUCUCGUUCUUGGUUAUGAAGCACCAAAACUGAGGUAAGCUGUCGUCAAAUCCCAUCCCACUGGCUGGAAUUAGAGAACAAUCCCUCUCCAUAACUCCAGUUGGUCACCUUAGUCUUGAGUCUUGACCAGUAUGUUUGUUCUUGUCCAUGAUCGCAUUUAUGCGCGCUUGUGUAACAUAUCUAGCUACGUUUACUGAAAGCGACUUUGCUCAUAUUGGGUUUCAUUGUCUUUCUGAGCAGAGACCAGCGACACACUUAAACUCCGUCUCAAGGACAUUGGGUCAGAACUUUCUUGGCCUAUUGGUAGAAUUAAAGAAGCACUUUCAGAAUUAAAUGGUUUAA